GCUUACGGCCACACCACCCUGAACACGCCCGAUCUCGUCCGAUCUCUCGAAGCUAAGCAGGGCCGGGCCUGGUAAGUACUUGGAUGGGGACCGCCUGGAAUACCAGGUGCUGUAAGUU
This 118-nucleotide ribosomal RNA is filed under the name Oryzias javanicus (javanese ricefish). Lineage: Eukaryota; Metazoa; Chordata; Actinopteri; Beloniformes; Adrianichthyidae. The record is from RNAcentral.